This 258-nucleotide ribosomal RNA is filed under the name uncultured bacterium. RNAcentral's name for it is "partial 16S ribosomal RNA". It matches the Rfam family "Bacterial small subunit ribosomal RNA", at positions 75 to 334 of the family's 1533-position model. The record is from RNAcentral.
CUUGCUUUCUUUGCUGGCGACCGGCGCACGGGUGAGUAACACGUAUCCAACCUGCCCUUUACUCGGGGAUAGCCUUUCGAAAGAAAGAUUAAUACCCGAUAGUAUAAUGAUUCCGCAUGGUUUCAUUAUUAAAGGAUUCCGGUAAAGGAUGGGGAUGCGUUCCAUUAGGUUGUUGGUGAGGUAACGGCUCACCAAGCCUUCGAUGGAUAGGGGUUCUGGGAGGAAGGUCCCCCACAUUGGAACUGAGACACGGUCCAA